AUUGAACGCUGGCGGCAGGCCUAACACAUGCAAGUCGAGCGGAUGAAGGGAGCUUGCUCCUGGAUUCAGCGGCGGACGGGUGAGUAAUGCCUAGGAAUCUGCCUGGUAGUGGGGGAUAACGUCCGGAAACGGGCGCUAAUACCGCAUACGUCCUGAGGGAGAAAGUGGGGGAUCUUCGGACCUCACGCUAUCAGAUGAGCCUAGGUCGGAUUAGCUAGUUGGUGGGGUAAAGGCUUACCAAGGCGACGAUCCGUAACUGGUCUGAGAGGAUGAUCAGUCACACUGGAACUGAGACACGGUCCAGACUCCUACGGGAGGCAGCAGUGGGGAAUAUUGGACAAAGGGCGAAAGCCUGAUCCAGCCAUGCCGCGUGUGUGAAGAAGGUCUUCGGAUUGUAAAGCACUUUAAGUUGGGAGGAAGGGCAGUAAGUUAAUACCUUGCUGUUUUGACGUUACCAACAGAAUAAGCACCGGCUAACUUCGUG
This 484-nucleotide ribosomal RNA is filed under the name uncultured bacterium. Its description in RNAcentral is "partial 16S ribosomal RNA". It matches the Rfam family "Bacterial small subunit ribosomal RNA", at positions 30 to 507 of the family's 1533-position model. The record is from RNAcentral.